This is a non-coding RNA of Pelobates cultripes (western spadefoot toad), 341 nucleotides long. Lineage: Eukaryota; Metazoa; Chordata; Amphibia; Anura; Pelobatidae. The record is from the annotation of a GenBank genome assembly.
UGCUAAUGUGUACCUAGUUUAUACUAAGUGACCCAUAGGUUGAGGAGGCGAUGACCGUGGUGGUGGAGGAGGAUGAGGUAGCAAAUGACCCACUCCCGAUGCAGGAAGGUAGUGAUGACAAAUAACAAUAAAGGACUCUUUGGAGGCCCUGUAAUUGUAAUGAGUCCACUUGAAAUCCUUUAACUCUGAUCAAUUGGAGGGAAGUCUGGUGCAGAGCCACUGACCUGUGUGUGCUGCAGCUGAAACGCCACUAUCACCUGCUGCUGCUCGCACAGUCUCAUGAGACGUGAGCGGGAAGGCCGAAGUUACGCUGCAGCACAGACAGACAAGCGCCAGCAGCG